AUACGGAGGGUGCAAGCGUUAAUCGGAAUUACUGGGCGUAAAGCGCGCGUAGGCGGUCAUGUAAGUCGGGUGUGAAAUCCCCGGGCUCAACCUGGGAACUGCAUUCGAUACUGUAUGACUUGAGUUUGGUAGAGGGGAGUGGAAUUCCACAUGUAGCGGUGAAAUGCGUAGAUAUGUGGAGGAACACCAGUGGCGAAGGCGACUCCCUGGUCCAAAACUGACGCUGUGGUGCGAAAGCGUGGGUAGCAAACAGGAUUAGAAACCCUAGUAGUCC
This 274-nucleotide ribosomal RNA is filed under the name uncultured bacterium. RNAcentral describes it as "partial 16S ribosomal RNA". It matches the Rfam family "Bacterial small subunit ribosomal RNA", at positions 523 to 796 of the family's 1533-position model. The record is from RNAcentral.